AAAACGACUCUCGGCAACGGAUAUCUCGGCUCUCGCAUCGAUGAAGAACGUAGCGAAAUGCGAUACUUGGUGUGAAUUGCAGAAUCCCGUGAACCAUCGAGUCUUUGAACGCAAGUUGCGCCCGAAGCCUUCUGGCCGAGGGCACGUCUGCCUGGGCGUCACGCA
RNAcentral lists this ribosomal RNA (165 nucleotides) under Suaeda acuminata. RNAcentral describes it as "5.8S ribosomal RNA". It matches the Rfam family "5.8S ribosomal RNA". Rfam says of the family: 5.8S ribosomal RNA (5.8S rRNA) is a component of the large subunit of the eukaryotic ribosome. RNAcentral also lists the same sequence under 4 other names. Lineage: Eukaryota; Viridiplantae; Streptophyta; Magnoliopsida; Caryophyllales; Amaranthaceae. The record is from RNAcentral.